RNA transcript from Gossypium raimondii (Peruvian cotton), 2119 nucleotides. RefSeq lists it as uncharacterized. The transcript has 19 exons. The record is from RefSeq and is a predicted model, not a curated record. NCBI's taxonomy places the organism in Eukaryota, Viridiplantae, Streptophyta, Magnoliopsida, Malvales, Malvaceae.
UGCUGGGCUGCCGCCAUCCCUAUUGUUUAAGCUCUAUCUCUCUCUAAGAAUCGAAAACCUUGGCGGAAAAAAGAGGAAAAUGGGAACGAGAUCGAAUUUCUACAAGAAUCCUUCCCUCUCUUACAAGAAAGAUUUAAGUCUCUCAUCUGCUCUCCAAAACCUAAAAGCUUAUAAUAUCGCCACCGGCAAUGCUCCUCCUCUGGUCGAAGAAAAAUCUCAAGUCGACGAUAAAAGCGCGUGCAGGAAACGCUCGAGAGAGCGUGAGCCAUUGUCACAGCUGCCUCAUCGUAGCCGUGAAAUUGAAGACAAUGAUGGACCUAUGUCUCAUCAUGAUUACAUUCUAAAAAGAAGGAGAGAAGUUAGUUCAUCUCAGGGUUACGACGAACUGAGUGCCGAUAUUUUGCAAGCUUCGAAUUCGAGUGUAAAUUUGGUAGACUAUGAAAGUGAUGGAAGUGCUUCUUCCAACGAUAAAGAAACUCAGGAUCCUCCAGAUUCUGGCGAUGCAAAUGAAGUAGAUCGGGUUAAGAGCAGAAGUGAGCAACGAUUUCCUCUUCCAGGUGAACCUGUAUGUGUAGUUUGUGGUAGAUAUGGAGAAUAUAUAUGUGAUAAGACUGAUGAUGACAUUUGCAGCAUGGAGUGCAAAUCUGCUCUUCUGCAAAGCCUUCAAAUAACUGAGAAAUCUAUGAGCAAUCGGAAUCCAUCUCACUCGUCAUCUGAUCUUACAUCUAUUUCUCAUUUGCCUGAGCUUGCGGAGGACACUUGGGAUUACAACAACCAUCGCUGGUCCCAAAGGGGAUCUAGUCUUUGUAGUUACAAAUGUUGGAAAUGCAAGAGGCCUGGACACCUUGCUGAUGAUUGCUUGGUCACCACACCCGAGCAGGCGGUGUCGAAGCAGAGCAAGCCUGUAGCGAGAGAUCUUCUUGAACUGUACAGAAGAUGCCAUCGCAUAGGUGAAAACUUAUCUCAUGCAAGCUGUAAUGCAUGCCGUGGCUCAAUUGGCCUAGCAACAUGCCUUGAUUGCAGCACUGUUGUCUGUGACAAUGAAGGUCAUUUGAAUGAACAUAUCCAUACCCAUCCAUCCCAUAAACAGUACUACUCACAUAAACUCAAGCGACUGGUGAAAUGCUGUAAGUCAACAUGCGAGGUGACUGACAUUAAUGAUCUUUUGAUUUGCCACUACUGCUUCGAUAAAGCAUUUGACAAAUUCUACGAUAUGUAUACGGCAACUUGGAAAGGGGCUGGACUUUCAAUGAUUGGGGGUUCCAUUUGUUGUGAAGAUCACUUUGCUUGGCAUAGGAUGAACUGCUUAAAUGCUGAUAUCGAGGACCGAGCAUAUAUAAUUGGCAGAAAUACAGGGAAAGGGAAACAUGUACAGCUCAGUGACUUCAUUUUCUAACAGUGUUGAGAGUUUCAGUAAUGGCCGGAGAAUUGACUCGUCUUGAUAAACAUCACAUAUCAGUGGAACAAAUGAAAAUGCCUUCAGAUUCUCCGACGCCUCCUUGCACAGACACCUUCUUCAUCGCAAUCUUGCCCGAUUUUGCAUUCACCCAGUUAGUUUUCCAGAGGUUGUUGUUCAUCGAACUUUUCCCCGAUUUCCCUGGUUACAGGUUAGUUUUCCUCCCCAAGUAAAACUCCUCUGCGAUUUGUGAAGAGAAACUUGAGGGGACGAAUCUGCUCUCCCUUGCUAUUCCUACUUAACUGCUUUCGAUCUGUUGUUUUUGUUCUUUGGCAUGCUAAUGAGCUUUAUGAUUGUUUAGUUGUUGUUUGGCAUACUUAAUCUGCUCAAAUUCCAAACAAUGGAGAAUUUGCGUAAUUUUAGUUGUUGUUGCGUCUUGGUCUGUUUAUAUUUUGUUGUUAGUAAUGCUCUGCUCUUUUGGCUAGAUUUUGUUCCAGUUUGCUUAGCUUAGGUGGAAUGGUGUUGGGUUUGAUAGAUAUCUUACAUCUGAUACAUGGAAGAUUGUUGUCUUUUUCCCUUUGUUAUGUAAUCCAAAGACUUUUAAGGCAUGCAAGUAUGUUAAUUGAAGUUGUUUAAGCUAUGUUUAUUAUUUCAUAGGUAGUAGUACAGAACCAUUAGGUUCAUUUUGGUUGCAAUCAAAGUUAAUAAGCUUAACUGCAGACU